Molecule: ribosomal RNA, 447 nt
Filed under: uncultured bacterium
Lineage: Bacteria
Description: partial 16S ribosomal RNA
Rfam family: Bacterial small subunit ribosomal RNA
Source: RNAcentral
AAUGAACGCUGGCGGCAGGCCUAACACAUGCAAGUCGAACGCCCCGCAAGGGGAGUGGCGCACGGGUGAGUAACGCGUGGGAAUAUGCCCUUCGGUUCGGAAUAACACAGGGAAACUUGUGCUAAUACCGGAUACGAUCUACGGAUGAAAGAUUCAUCGCCGAAGGAGUAGCCCGCGUAGGAUUAGCUAGUUGGUGAGGUAAUGGCUCACCAAGGCGACGAUCCUUAGCUGGUCUGAGAGGAUGAUCAGCCACACUGGGACUGAGACACGGCCUAGACUCCUACGGGAGGCAGCAGUGGGGAAUAUUGGACAAUGGGCGAAAGCCUGCUCCAGCCAUGCCGCGUGGGUGAUGAAGGCCUUAGGGUUGUAAAGCUCUUUCGCCAGGGAAGAUAAUGACGGUACCUGGAAAAGAAGCCUCGGCUAACUCCGUGCCAGCAGCCGCCGUAA